GAUGGCGCGAGGCGUAGAUGACGUCGCGAUUCUUGACCGGGAAGGUCUGACCGACGAUGAGGCUGUCCGGUUUCGUCAUGUCGA
Molecule: small RNA, 84 nt
Filed under: Sinorhizobium meliloti 2011
Lineage: Bacteria; Pseudomonadati; Pseudomonadota; Alphaproteobacteria; Hyphomicrobiales; Rhizobiaceae
Description: putative ncRNA
Source: RNAcentral